GCUUAACACAUGCAAGUCGAGCGGUAAGGCCUUUCGGGGUACACGAGCGGCGAACGGGUGAGUAACACGUGGGUGAUCUGCCCUGCACUCUGGGAUAAGCUUGGGAAACUGGGUCUAAUACCGGAUAUGACUGCAGCAUGCAUGUGGUGUGGUGGAAAGAUUUAUCGGUGCAGGAUGGGCCCGCGGCCUAUCAGCUUGUUGGUGGGGUAAUGGCCUACCAAGGCGACGACGGGUAGCCGACCUGAGAGGGUGACCGGCCACACUGGGACUGAGACACGGCCCAGACUCCUACGGGAGGCAGCAGUGGGGAAUAUUGCACAAUGGGCGGAAGCCUGAUGCAGCGACGCCGCGUGAGGGAUGAAGGCCUUCGGGUUGUAAACCUCUUUCAGCAGGGACGAAGCGUGAGUGACGGUACCUGCAGAAGAAGCACCGGCUAACUACGUGCCAGCAGCCGCGGUAAUACGUAGGGUGCGAGCGUUGUCCGGAAUUACUGGGCGUAAAGAGUUCGUAGGCGGUUUGUCGCGUCGUUUGUGAAAACCCGGGGCUCAACUUCGGGCUUGCAGGCGAUACGGGCAGACUUGAGUGUUUCAGGGGAGACUGGAAUUCCUGGUGUAGCGGUGAAAUGCGCAGAUAUCAGGAGGAACACCGGUGGCGAAGGCGGGUCUCUGGGAAACAACUGACGCUGAGGAACGAAAGCGUGGGUAGCAAACAGGAUUAGAUACCCUGGUAGUCCACGCCGUAAACGGUGGGCGCUAGGUGUGGGUUCCUUCC
Molecule: ribosomal RNA, 771 nt
Filed under: Rhodococcoides fascians
Lineage: Bacteria; Bacillati; Actinomycetota; Actinomycetes; Mycobacteriales; Nocardiaceae
Description: bacterial SSU rRNA
Rfam family: Bacterial small subunit ribosomal RNA
Source: RNAcentral